Molecule: ribosomal RNA, 498 nt
Filed under: uncultured bacterium
Lineage: Bacteria
Description: partial 16S ribosomal RNA
Rfam family: Bacterial small subunit ribosomal RNA
Source: RNAcentral
AUUGAACGCUGGCGGAAUGCUUUACACAUGCAAGUCGAGCGGCAGCGCGGGGCAACCUGGCGGCGAGCGGCGAACGGGUGAGUAAUGUAUCGGAACGUGUCCUGUCGUGGGGGAUAGCCCGGUGAAAACCGGAUUAAUACCGCAUACGAUCGAGAGAGGAAAGUGGGGGACAGCACGGCCUGCCGCGAUAGGAGCGGGCGAUAUCUGAUUAGCUAGUUGGUGGGGUAAAGGCCCACCAAGGCUUCGAUCAGUAGCUGGUCUGAGAGGAUGAUCAGCCACACUGGGACUGAGACACGGCCCAGACUCCUACGGGAGGCAGCAGUGGGGAAUUUUGGACAAUGGGGGCAACCCUGAUCCAGCCAUUCCGCGUGAGUGAAGAAGGCCUUCGGGUUGUAAAGCUCUUUUGUCCGGGAAGAAACGGUUUUGGCUAAUAACCAAGACUACUGACGGUACCGGAAGAAUAAGGACCGGCUAACUACGUGCCAGCCGCCGCCGUAA